GACGAACCGUGCGAACGUUGUUCGGAAUCACUGGGCUUAAAGGGCGCGUAGGCGGCUUUGCAAGUGGCGGGUGAAAUCCCUCGGCUUAACCGAGGAACUGCCUGUCAAACUGCAUGGCUUGAGACCAGGAGAGGUGAGUGGAAUUCCCAGUGUAGCGGUGAAAUGCGUAGAUAUUGGGAGGAACACCAGUGGCGAAGGCGGCUCACUGGACUGGUACUGACGCUGAUGCGCGACAGCGUGGGGAGCAAACAGG
RNAcentral lists this ribosomal RNA (253 nucleotides) under uncultured bacterium. RNAcentral's name for it is "partial 16S ribosomal RNA". It matches the Rfam family "Bacterial small subunit ribosomal RNA", at positions 524 to 776 of the family's 1533-position model. The record is from RNAcentral.